Molecule: long non-coding RNA, 3875 nt
Organism: Mirounga angustirostris (Northern elephant seal)
Lineage: Eukaryota; Metazoa; Chordata; Mammalia; Carnivora; Phocidae
Exons: 6
Source: RefSeq, a predicted model, not a curated record
AGAGAAUUCCGGCAGUUUCAGGUACACAGAGAGAUCCUUCAGGAAAAAGCUAACUUUCAGAGCACCAAAACCAAACUGUAGGGUGAGCUCGGCCCCCCGCCUGAUUUUGAGCACGGCCCUCCCGCAAGGUACAAAGGGUCUGUCCUCCCACACUGUUGGUCUUGUCACACGUGUGCUUAUUAUUAGGGUUGUUCUGAAAUUCUGACUACUGAUUUGAGAGAUGUGGAAAACCCUCGUGCUGUGUUUUAUCAUCCUCUCCUCUAAAAAUAAUUCUGGACAUUGACACAGGAAGGAUGACCCACAGCUGGGGAGAAUAUUUUGUUGUAAAAUCAUCUGUUUCUCUUACUUCGUGUCUGCUUACCUCCUGUCUCUGAAGUGGUCGUGUGGACUGUGGUUAAUUUAUGUCUAGGUCUCUGUUCUCCAUACGUGUUCUCAAGAUAAAGGAUGCUUGCUGAAUGUCCUGACACGCACCGGCAGGAGAUUUUGCAGGUCAGGCAGAGAUGAGACUCGAUGGCAACUCUUUCACUCUUUGGAACAUUCUGCAACGAAUCACACUGCAGCCUCCGUCCAAACAGUUUAUAAGCUAAAUAAGGAGAGAAAAUUCUGGAAAUUAUAUAUAAAAAAUAUAUAUAUAAGAAGGCUCAAAAAAUUGAAGAGAGGAAGGCAGACCAGCCAGGGAUCUCAAGACCCAAGGAAUGACAUGAUGGGAUAGGAAGAUGAGUCAAAUAUAAUCUGGAGAGCCACACAUGAGAAGAAUAACAAUGGGAAAAUGGUACAUGACAAAAGGGGCAUGAAGGUAGCCUGGGAACAGAGGAGGAAGCACUUCACUGUGGAGUCUUCAGGGCUUUGGACCUAGAAGAAGGCACCCACUUCUUUUUCUAGAAGUGGGGUAGAGACAUCAAUCAAAAGCCAUGGACGCAGACAUUAAAGUAAUUUUGGCAUUUUCAGAGGUACUGAUACUGAUGAACUCUUGUUACACCAUCCUCAGAAGAGGCAGAUGGCCCACCUGACCUGUUGGUCCCAAGAAGAGGAUGGGCCACACGUGGGGUAAGCCUACCCCGGCAAACAUUUAACAUGAAGCCAAACCAUCCUAGCUGACUCAGAAAGCCAUGAACAAAAAAUAAAUGUUUAUUGCUGCAUACCACUGAAAGAUUGAGAUUUGUUAUGCAGCAGGAGUCAACUGCUACAUAUAUCUGACAUGAGCCUGUUACUGGGCAUAUACAACCAUUAGCAAGAACAUAACAUGACUGCUUAUAAUGCAUUGGGAGAAAAGUAUACAAUAUAAACAACAUUAUUAAUAUAUAUGGUAUCAGUUGAUUUUUUGAUUUGAUGAAAAGAAAAUCAAUAAAGAAUAGAAAAUGGCAUGUGAGAGGUACAUCUUUGAUUGCUAAUAAAGUUGAAUAUUUUGUAUUUUCCUUUCUCAAAUUUGCCUCAAUGUGAUUUUUGAAUUUUUCUUUAGAGUAUUCAUCCUUCUCUAAUUUUUAAUUAUUUUUUAUGUGUUACUUAUAUUUAUGUAUUAAAUAUUUAUAUACAUUGGCUAUUGUAAAUGUUGCAAAUAUUUUUCCUAAUUUGAUUAAGAUUUUAUAUUUUGUUAAAUAGAAAUUCCUUAAGUUGUAACUUAACAGUCUUUUGUUCUAUGCUUUGCUGCAUGUUUAGAAAAUGUUUGCAUUUCACUUUUUACAUUUAACGUAAAUUGCCAGUGAUUUAUUUUGGUAUAUAAUGCAGGGGAGGAUAUUAACUCUACCCCCAACCCUGCCAAAAGCUUUCAUUAACAAUGUUUAAUGAAUUCAACAUUUCCCAGUUGAAGUAAAAUGUUGCUACUCUCUAUGUAACAGAAAUCAGGUGACCUGCAUUUUUAUUGUUGUAUAAUAUCUAGCCAGUAAUAUCCCUCCUUGAUGAUAUGAAAUGAUAUUAAGAAUUAUGUAUGAAAUUACUUUCAGUGAAAAAAGCAGGUAAUGUAUGUAACACAAUAUGCUCCUAUGUCCUUAUGCCCCUAAUUCUAUAAAAUCAAUACGUAUGCAUAAACACAUGUGAGGAAGAUGAAAGAAAAAUUCAAAAUAUUACUGACAUGUAAUUCUGAGUGGAUAAAAAGAUAAUGGAUACAUUUUAUUUCUUUUUCACUGUUUUCUAUGUUUUCCAAAUUAUCUACAGUAGACAUAUAAUACUGCUAUAAUUAGAAGAAAAACUGUUUAUGAAUAUUUUUUUCAAAAGCUAAAACAAGACUCCAAUAACUUGAAAAGUUCUAUUAACUAGAAAUUCACAUCUAUUUGUUUGUGCUUUAGAUAAAAGAACAAAUCAUUUGUUGAUUUUUAAAAAAUUGAUUACCAGAAACUUCAUUCAGCUUGCCCUUAGCCUAUUUCCUUCCCUCUUUCUUUGGAAAGUCAUCUCCCAGUUAUCUUACUGCUAUUCUUAGAAGUGAAGUUGAUUUUUUACCUUAAGUUUAGAUAAUUCCCAAUAUCUUCCAAGACAUGAGGCAGGACUAAAUGUACCUGUCUAAAAGGAAUUCUACUCCUUGAUUAGAGAAAUAAAUUUAUGUUAAUAUUCCUAUUCCCCUUCUAGAGAGGUUUUCUGUAGACACAGAGAGAGCUUCUAUACUUGAAGGGAAGUUGGGCUCCAUGGCUUCUGAGGAUCCAUCCAGUCCUAAAGUUGGAUAAUUCUUAAAUUAUCAAGAGAAUGUAUAGAGUGGGCCAGGGGUUCAGGGGCUCACUUUUGAGGGGAAAUUUGAAUCUGGGAAAAGAUGUGUUUACAAAGUGGGCGGAGAACACUUGGCCCCCUUGCUCCAUCCCAGGUACACAUCUUGACACAUCUGAGGUUAGGAAGUAAUAAGAAAUAGGAAUUAACUAUGGCCUCUCCUGCCACAUGUCAAAGUUAAUUCUACUUCAAAUGAGUCUUAAUUACGCCAGUGAAGUUUAGGGUUUAAUAGAACCUGUUCACUGAAACUGUAACUUUCAUUAUAAGGACUAAGAAAGAUGUAAAAUCAAGUUCACUUUAAAUGUUGUGAACUUAAUUUGAAGCUGUAAUAUUAAUAGUUGAGGCAAAAAACUCUACAUCUCUCUUGUAGAGUGGUUGGCUCAUUGGCAUUUCCUAUCUGUGAAAAUACUUACCCUAGGGAAAACCAAGAUCUUCAAAAUGAUAUUAGGCUCUGAUUUUCUGAACUUCAUGUACUCAAUUCUUGUACUCAUUUUUUUCAAAUUUAUUCUUUCUGUGGAGGAUAUACAACUUAGCAACCUUGUAAACUAUUUUUUUCUAUGACUAGAAAUCACCAAUUUAAGAAAAAAAUUGAUAUUGAAAUAUAGUUGACAUAUGGUGUUGUAUUGGUUUCAGGUGGACAAUAUAGUGAUUUAACAAUUCUAUACAUUACACAGUGCUUACCACAGUAGGUGUAGUUACUAGCUACAUACAACACUAUUACAAUAUUACUGACUAUAUUCAGUAUACUUUUUAUCCCCAUGACUUAUUUUCUACCCGGAAGUUUGUACCUCUGAAUAUCUUCACCCAUUUUACCCAUCUCCCACCUACCGUGCAUCCAGCAACUACCAGUUUGUUCUCUGUAUGUAUUUAUUUAGAUUUCACAUAUAAGUGAAAUCAUAUGGUAUUUGUCUUUCUCUGACUUAUUUCACUUAGCAUGAUACCCUAUAGGUCCAUUCAUGUUGUCACAAAUGGCAAGAUUUCAUUCCUUUUUUAUAACUAAUACUCCAUUGUAUACAUAUAUAACACUUCUUCUUUAUGCAUUCAUCUAUUAAUGGACCCUUAGGUUGCUUCCAUAUUUUGGCUAUUAUAAAUAAUACUGCAAUAAACAUAGGUUUGGAUAUAUCUUUUCACUUUAGUGUUUUUGUUUUCUUUGGGUAAAUACCCAGGAGUGGAAUUACUGAAUC